GUGGAAUUAGCUGUGUAACAGUGUUGUCUAGUAAUUGCAGCUGUGCCUGCCUGUGCCCACGUAGGGAGACUCUGAGCUGUUGCGAGGUGUUUCGAGAUUGCUGCAGAUCCCCCUCUCUCUCCUCGCAAGCAUCACCUCGGCGGAGAGGAAGGCGCUGUGCACGCUCCCACACGCCUGCGCCUUCUCGGCGGAGAGCUCGCCGGCUCGCGGGUGACCGUGCCCUGAUGCCUCAGCGCUGGCUUGUGGUGCAGCGCCUCGUGCGCCGUUUUUUCUGUCGUGCUGAUUUAAAAAGCUGUGCAGGGCAGGCUGGAGCACCUUGCAGUCACCUGCCCGAAACAGAGAAGAGAGCCGUGAGAUUUUCACUUCUCAUUCCCCUGCGGCUCUCCCCUCGCCAUGCCUGCUCCGGGAAGCGAAAGCCUGUGUUUGUCCUGUGGUCUGGCAUUAAAACGAGCAGCUUCAGUGGAAAGAGACCGUGCCAUUAAUUCCACUGCUGUCCGUGCAGAUCUGUGAAUCUCAGACCGCGGCUGGUAAGUGCUCCUGUUGUUUGGCAACAAAUAACGCCCCCCUUGCUUUCCUGAAACACCUGCCCAGCUUUACUUUCAACUCACCGAGGAGCAGAGGUGCUGGCCAAGUCACUGAGACUUUUUUGGGCAUAAAACAAACGGGAUUCUGUUCGACAUCUGAACUUCCUUUUUUAAAGACGCGCUGUUCAUAGGAACAAAACACAAUAUGAAUACUGUAGUACAAAGCGUCUUACUCCUGU
RNAcentral lists this long non-coding RNA (763 nucleotides) under Lepisosteus oculatus (spotted gar). Its description in RNAcentral is "lncRNA (ENSLOCG00000021875.1)". Lineage: Eukaryota; Metazoa; Chordata; Actinopteri; Semionotiformes; Lepisosteidae. The record is from RNAcentral.